CCUAUUCCCUAUUCGUUACCUAUUCGUUACUUAUUCCCUAUUCCCUAUCGUUACCUAUUCGUUACUUAUUCGAUUUUUAAUAUCCUUCCCCCUUUUUAAUUAAUUAUUAUUCUUCUUCUUCCUCUUCUUCCUCUUCUUCCUCUUCUUCUUCCGCCACUUUAAAAAUGAACUUGUCCGCAGCAUUUCUCCAAAACUACUUGUCAGAUUUACUUAGGGUUUCAUAAAAUGUUAGACUAAUAUGUCUAGGUGAGCCAUCAAUCGCUCAUUUGUGCAUUGGGGUCUAUUAAGGGGUAUUUUGGGGGGCAGAAAGAAGGGAGGGGUUUACUAUAGAACCCUAUGGGAUUUUAUUUUCUAAAAUUUUCAAAUGAAUAUAACUUGAAAACUGUAAGUGAUAGAUACAUGCAGUCUUCAGAAAUGAUUAAAGGACAAUAAAAACAAAUCACAUGAAAUAUAGGGGAGUCCCUGGGGGGGGGGGUCAUCCCUACCCCCUUCAAUUCGAGAAUAUGCUUUUAACUUGUAAACGGUCCAGAUCCCCACCCCUAAACCAUAUAUAUUCUUGUAUGGGACAAUAAAACUAAUCAAAUGAAAUUAAAUAAAAGUUCCUGGGGGUCACCCCACCCCGUUCAAUUUGAGAAUGUACUAUUAUCUUGUAAACGGUCCAGAUCCCCACCCCUAAACCAUAUAUGUUCUUGAAUAGGACGAUAAAACAAAUCAAAUGAAAUUAAAUGGAAGUCCCCGGGGGUCAUCCCCACCCCGUUCAAUUUUAGAAUGUGCUAUUAUCUUGUAAACGGUCCAGAUCCCCACCCCUAAACCAUAUAUAUUCUUGUAGGGGACAAUAAAACUAAUCAAAUGAAAUUAAAUGGAAGUUCCUGGGGGUCACCCCCAC
RNAcentral lists this long non-coding RNA (886 nucleotides) under Mytilus galloprovincialis (Mediterranean mussel). The record is from RNAcentral. Lineage: Eukaryota; Metazoa; Mollusca; Bivalvia; Mytilida; Mytilidae.